AACAGUAAACUAGAAAAACACAUUUAUUAUAUCGUUAACCCUACACAGGAGUGUUCACAGGAAAGAUUUAAAGAAAAUAAAGGAACUCGGCAAACAUAAACUCCGCCUGUUUACCAAAAACAUCGCCUCUUGCACACCCUGUAUAAGAGGUCCCGCCUGCCCUGUGACAUUGUUUAACGGCCGCGGUAUUAUGACCGUGCGAAGGUAGCGUAAUCACUUGUCUUUUAAUUGAAGACCUGUAUGAAAGGCAUCACGAGAGUUUACCUGUCUCUAUUUUCUAAUCAAUGAAAUUGAUUUCCCCGUGCAGAAGCGAGGAUAUAACCAUAAGACGAGAAGACCCUAUGGAGCUUUAAACACUUAAGUUACUAUUUUUCUUAUCAAUUAAUCUAAAGACCUAACCUACCCUAAUAGUAACCUAACUUAAUGUUUUCGGUUGGGGCGACCAAGGAGUAAAAGAAAACCUCCUUAUCGACUGAGUAUUUUUACUUAAAAAUCAGAACGACAGUUCUGAUCAAUAGAAUAUCUAACGAAUAAUGACCCAGGGCUACACCCUGAUCAAUGAACCAAGUUACCCUAGGGAUAACAGCGCAAUCCUUUCUAAGAGUCCAUAUCGCCGAAAGGGUUUACGACCUCGAUGUUGGAUCAGGACAUCCUAAUGGUGCAACCGCUAUUAAGGGUUCGUUUGUUCAACGAUUAAUAGUCCUACGUGAUCUGAGUU
This 718-nucleotide ribosomal RNA is filed under the name Raja radula (rough ray). RNAcentral describes it as "partial 16S ribosomal RNA". It matches the Rfam family "Bacterial large subunit ribosomal RNA", at positions 1616 to 2611 of the family's 2925-position model. The record is from RNAcentral. Lineage: Eukaryota; Metazoa; Chordata; Chondrichthyes; Rajiformes; Rajidae.